UACGAAGGGGGCUAGCGUUGUUCGGAAUCACUGGGCGUAAAGCGCGCGUAGGCGGAUUUGUAAGUCAGAGGUGAAAUCCCGGGGCCCAACCCCGGAACUGCCUUUGAAACUACAAGUCUAGAAUCUUGGAGGGGGUAGUGGAAUUCCUAAUGUAGGGGUGAAAUCCGUAGAUAUUAGGAGGAACACCGGUGGCGAAGGCGGCUACCUGGACAAGUAUUGACGCUGAGGUGCGAAAGCGUGGGGAGCAAACAGG
This 253-nucleotide ribosomal RNA is filed under the name uncultured bacterium. RNAcentral describes it as "partial 16S ribosomal RNA". It matches the Rfam family "Bacterial small subunit ribosomal RNA", at positions 524 to 776 of the family's 1533-position model. The record is from RNAcentral.